CCCUUAGAUGUUCUGGGCUGCACACGUGCUACACUGGCAGGUUCAGCGAGCUUCAUGCCCUGAUCUGAAAGGAAUGGGAAAUCUUUUCAAAACCUGCCGUGCUUGGGAUAGAUGUUUGCAAUUAUUCAUCUUCAACGAGGAUUGCCUUGCAAGCGCACGUCAUCAGCGUGCAUUGAAUACGACCCUGUAUUCUGUACACACCGCCCGUCGCUCCUACCGAUUGAAGUUUUCGGUGAGUUGACAGGAGGAUUUUUUUGAAACUGGUUCGCCAGUGGAUUUUAGAUCCAAAUGCCAACGAAUCGGUGGCUUUAGAGGAAGGAGAAGUCGUAACA
This 332-nucleotide ribosomal RNA is filed under the name uncultured eukaryote. RNAcentral describes it as "partial 18S ribosomal RNA". It matches the Rfam family "Eukaryotic small subunit ribosomal RNA", at positions 1470 to 1796 of the family's 1831-position model. The record is from RNAcentral.